AGCAGUAGCCGCGGUAAUACGAAGGGUGCAAGCGUUACUCGGAAUUACUGGGCGUAAAGCGUGCGUAGGUGGUGGUUUAAGUCCGUUGUGAAAGCCCUGGGCUCAACCUGGGAAUUGCAGUGGAUACUGGGUCACUAGAGUGUGGUAGAGGAUAGUGGAAUUUCCGGUGUAGCAGUGAAAUGCGUAGAGAUCGGAAGGAACAUCUGUGGCGAAGGCGACUAUCUGGGCCAACACUGACACUGAGGCACGAAAGCGUGGGGAGUAAACAGGAUUAGAUACCCGAGUAGUCCCUGUCUCUUAUAC
RNAcentral lists this ribosomal RNA (303 nucleotides) under uncultured bacterium. RNAcentral describes it as "partial 16S ribosomal RNA". It matches the Rfam family "Bacterial small subunit ribosomal RNA", at positions 507 to 807 of the family's 1533-position model. The record is from RNAcentral.